CCUAGGGCAGAACUAAUCUUCCUGAAUUUCCUUAGCAGAGAAAGAGCCAAAUUUGCAGGGGAGAGAUGUUCCCUGAGAAGUGCAGAGGCAGGAGUGUGUUGCAGAGGAAGAGCCAAUGAAUCUCUGGAGCAAACUCCAUGAUGAGGAGCCUGUUGAAGGCUGGAGGGUCAGCUGAUGUGCUUUCAAAAGAGACCCACAGGUUCCUGGAGACCCAGACAAACUCAGACACACAACCCGGUGAAGAAGGGAAAGACAUUCAGCACCAAAGGACCUCAGCUCUGGACCUGACCCAGGAACACCUCACCUGAAGGCUCUGCACAGCAAGAUAGCCCACUUUCGACCUUGUCCAGGCAAAGAAGGCUUAUGGGAACUCAAUGACAGACCCUGUUAUCCUCUGCUGAAUCAGUUCCCUGAACUGAAUCACAGACUGAUUUCACAACUAGAUGGGACAGCACAGGAAGGACUGUGGUGCAUGGAAGAAACAGCGUGGAGGGAGUCCUGGAUUAUUGGAAACCACAAUUGCCUCAAAAGUCACCGUAACAUGACUCCGCAGAUAAGGUUAGUCAUAGCCUGCAAUGUGCAGCUGAUGACUGACCCCAUGGGAGAAUCGCUUCCCAGCAGCAUUGUGCAAGGGGCUGAUACUCUGUCUUCCUAAAUCCUGGAGGGCUGAAGCUUAUUUGUACAACAAACAAGGCCCGGUUGGAGUUUACCAUGCAGAAUUGUCUCCCUCUAAUAUAAUUCAGCUGUGUAUGUAUUUCAUUGCAAAGAAAAUAUAGCUAUGACUUCCACUAGGUUCCUUCAUCAGUAGCCAUUACAUUGGUGCUAAAUGUUCGUUUGACUUAUACAUGUUAAAAGAAGUGCAUUGGGCAGGAUUCUGAAUAAAUGCAAAUCAGAGGUGAAUCAUCUAAAAUAUUUGGAGUCACAGGCAGAAGUGGGAUCUGAGUCAAGCCACUUGUCCUAGUUUCUGUCACACAAACACUAACUCUUUAUAAAUCAUUAAUUUCCAGACUGUUUAUUAUCCAGGGGAAGUAACAAAACAGUAGUAUCACAUAACACAUCCUAAGAAUGCCUUGUUCAUUUUAAGAGCAAAUAAAACUAAAUAGCACCAAGUUGUUAGUGAUGCAGCCUACGAGACCAAGCAGAAACACAAAAAAGGGACCUUAAUCAGGCUGAGGCCACAAAAUAAACAGGGGAAUGGGUAAAAAAAGAAAAAAAAAAAAAAAGGUUGGACAGAGUGUCUUCACAUGGACUAUCUUCACAUAGGUAUUCUUUGUUUACUGUCACAUGGAAAUUGCCUCUGCUCAUUACAUGGUGGGGCUUUCAGCAGGGACACCGCAGCAGUGCUAUUAGAGCUUGAAUGGUUUCCACAGCUGCUGCUGCCCUUCUCACAGGAAUAAUUUAACACCUAUCCAC
Tyto alba (common barn owl) is the source of this 1413-nucleotide long non-coding RNA. RefSeq lists it as uncharacterized. The transcript has 4 exons. Lineage: Eukaryota; Metazoa; Chordata; Aves; Strigiformes; Tytonidae. The record is from RefSeq and is a predicted model, not a curated record.